UUGCUUUGACAGCACAUAUACUAAAAUUGGAAAGAUACAGACAAGAUUAGUAUGGCCCUGGCACAAAGAUGACAUGCAAAUUUAUGAAGCAUUCCAUAUUUUU
Phascolarctos cinereus (koala) is the source of this 103-nucleotide small nuclear RNA. The record is from Ensembl. NCBI's taxonomy places the organism in Eukaryota, Metazoa, Chordata, Mammalia, Diprotodontia, Phascolarctidae.